GAUGAACGCUGGCGGCGUGCCUAAUACAUGCAAGUCGAGCGAACGGACGAGAAGCUUGCUUCUCUGAUGUUAGCGGCGGACGGGUGAGUAACACGUGGAUAACCUACCUAUAAGACUGGGAUAACUUCGGGAAACCGUAGCUAAUACCGGAUAAUAUUUUGAACCGCAUGGUUCAAAGGUGAAAGACGGUCUUGCUGUCACUUAUAGAUGGAUCCGCGCUGCAUUAGCUAGUUGGUAAGGUAACGGCUUACCAAGGCAACGAUGCAUAGCCGACGGGAGAGGGUGAUCGGCCACACUGGAACUGGAACACGGUCCAGAGUCCUACGGGAGGCAGCAGUAGGGAAUCUGCCGCAAUGGGCGAAAGCCUUACGGAGCAACGCCGCGUGAGUGAUGAAGGUCUUCGGAUCGUAAAGCUCUGUUAUUAGGGAAGAACAGAUGUGGAAGUAACUGUGCACAUCUUGACGGUAACUAAUCAGAAAGCCACGGCUAACUACGUG
Molecule: ribosomal RNA, 497 nt
Filed under: uncultured bacterium
Lineage: Bacteria
Description: partial 16S ribosomal RNA
Rfam family: Bacterial small subunit ribosomal RNA
Source: RNAcentral